AUUGAACGCUGGCGGCAGGCUUAACACAUGCAAGUCGAGCGGGGUGAUGGUGCUUGCACUAUCACUUAGCGGCGGACGGGUGAGUAAUGCUUAGGAAUCUGCCUAUUAGUGGGGGACAACAUCUCGAAAGGGAUGCUAAUACCGCAUACGUCCUACGGGAGAAAGCAGGGGAUCACUUGUGACCUUGCGCUGAUAGAUGAGCCUAAGUUGGAUUAGCUAGUUGGUGGGGUAAAGGCCUACCAAGGCGACGAUCUGUAGCGGGUCUGAGAGGAUGAUCCGCCACACUGGGACUGAGACACGGCCCAGACUCCUACGGGAGGCAGCAGUGGGGAAUAUUGGACAAUGGGGGGAACCCUGAUCCAGCCAUGCCGCGUGUGUGAAGAAGGCCUUAUGGUUGUAAAGCACUUUAAGCGAGGAGGAGGCUCUUUUGGUUAAUACCCAAGAUGAGUGGACGUUACUCGCAGAAUAAGCACCGGCUAACUCUGUGCCAGCCGCCGCAGUAA
Molecule: ribosomal RNA, 503 nt
Filed under: uncultured bacterium
Lineage: Bacteria
Description: partial 16S ribosomal RNA
Rfam family: Bacterial small subunit ribosomal RNA
Source: RNAcentral